Molecule: long non-coding RNA, 2554 nt
Filed under: Jatropha curcas
Lineage: Eukaryota; Viridiplantae; Streptophyta; Magnoliopsida; Malpighiales; Euphorbiaceae
Description: long non-coding RNA (JCUR_LNC001407)
Source: RNAcentral
UGGGUCGUCCUGAAAAUCAGUUAUAUGUUAGGUGCUCGUUGACUUCAUCAUCAAAAGUUCACUUAAGGUCUCUUGUGAAAGAAAGAUUGGAACGUUGCACUGAGAAUACAUCUACAUGCAUACCUGUCCUUAUGACUGAUAUUACAUCUGUAGAUCAGCGUCUCUGCAAUAGUAAUCUUGAAGAUAAGCCAGGUCGAGGAGUUUGGUGCGAGGAAGAUGGGUGUGUUUUCAGUUCUAUCUUGUGCCCUUUCUGCAGUACCUUUAACUGUCUUGGAGUCCAAAUCAUGGCAGCUGAUGCCUCCAACGUUCAAUUACUUAACAAGGUUUGUUUUAAUGAGAGGAUGUAUUUUUUUGAUGCUUCAAACUAAGAUCAGGUUUUCAUAUUUCUUUCACUGUUAAUAUUUGUGGUUGCUAUUCUUUUGAUCUUGACUGCUGCAAUACUGCUUAAUAUGCAGAUAUUGUUUUAUUUUGAUCAUCUGGAAAUUCAGGAUCUUGAAGGAUCAGUGGACAAGGGGCAAAAGGUAACUUAGUAUUAUAUGGUCGGCAAGUUCUUUUAUAAUUCUUUUGUUAUUUUUGUGCUAGUUGUGUAAGGAAUAAAAGAGAGAAGACUAUGGAAUUCACAGCUAAAAUAGAAAUGAACGACAAACCUAGAGGUGUAUUACCUUUGGGUUUCUGUUUACAGAACAACCAAAACUCAAAUAAAGACCUGAUGGAGUUGAAAUAUAGACUUUAGAAUUAAAUCAUAACAUCAAACUUGACUGAUCAUAGCACUCUACAUUCACAUGCCUUCCUCAGUAGAACAUCGAUAAGAAGCUCCAAAGCAUAUUUGACGUUUUGGUCUUUGAACUUUCAUUGUUUUAUCACUAUUAACAGUUCUAUUACAUCUCUACGUACAAGUGCAGGUUUUGCAAAACCAUAGCCCAAGCAUGGACAAAAUUGCUGCCUUUAACUCCAUUGAUAGAUUCUCAUAUAGCAAAAAUCAGAAAUUGAACAAUGAAGGUAUAUCUGAUGACUAAAUGGGAUGUAUAAUUAAAAUGCAAAUACCUAGAAACUUUAGCUAGGAUACAUGAUACACCAACUUUAGUUAUUAAGUCCUGCACGAUGAUCCAUUAUGGAACGUAUUGAAAUAUAAAAAAAAUAAAAAAAUAAAAAAAUAAAAAAAAAAUUCAACAUAUUGAACUGAAAAUUGUUUUCGUGAUAAUCCAUUGUGGUCUUGGUCUAUUAUUCCUGCACUAAUAAUUCAAAGUUCCUGCGGGCAAGAUGCCAAAUGGAAAAUAACAAGCAGAAUUUUACUCUCCUUUCAUUAUCUAAAUACAUCAUGUAAUAUAUUUGCACAUUCGUAUGGGGUAAAUAAUUGGUUAUGCUAGAAGUAUCUUUUCUUCUCGUGAAAUAUCCAAGUGGUAUAACUCUUACUUGAUAAAAAAGUACUUAUUUGUAGGUGUUCUGAGACAUCGUCCCAGGAAGAUCCAGAAGUAACUUUCGUCAAGGAAACCCUCAGUACGGGCUGCAACGAAACCACAACUACAACAGCUUCUUUCUCCAUGGAUAAGAGCCCUAAUUUAAACUUGAGUCCGCCAUCUGCUGAGUUUAUAGAUCAAGUCUCAUUCCAUUCAGCAUGUCUAACAAAUGCAAGUAGAGCUUCUGACAGAGCUCAGUGUUCGGGGGUAGCGACUCCCAGAAAAGACUCGACUGCUAAUAACUGCAGCCUGAUACCUGAAGCAGAGUCGACUCUAAAUUUGAGUGUUAAUUCUCAUACCCAGAAAAAAAGGAAGUCCGUGGGCUCGCCAUUAAUUGAUGUUAAAAAGCAAAAUGAUUCUCCCAAUGCUCAAACUUCUGGCUGUGUUGGUUUCAUAGAAAACACAAUUGCCAUUAAAGAUGCAAGUCGGAGGAUUGAAUUUGAUUUUGCAACUAACAGUGCACAAUCCCUGUCCAUUAGGUUAAAGAAGCCUCAGAUUCUCCCUUUAGAUAAUUCUGCUCCACCAUCUUCUGAUCCUGUCAUGGACAAGAAAUUAAGAAUUUCUUGUUCGCUCUGCAAGAGCCCUUUGGGUCGUCCUGAAAAUCAGUUAUAUGUUAGGUGCUCGUUGACUUCAUCAUCAAAAGUUCACUUAAGGUCUCUUGUGAAAGAAAGAUUGGAACGUUGCACUGAGAAUACAUCUACAUGCAUACCUGUCCUUAUGACUGAUAUUACAUCUGUAGAUCAGCGUCUCUGCAAUAGUAAUCUUGAAGAUAAGCCAGGUCGAGGAGUUUGGUGCGAGGAAGAUGGGUGUGUUUUCAGUUCUAUCUUGUGCCCUUUCUGCAGUACCUUUAACUGUCUUGGAGUCCAAAUCAUGGCAGCUGAUGCCUCCAACGUUCAAUUACUUAACAAGGUUUGUUUUAAUGAGAGGAUGUAUUUUUUUGAUGCUUCAAACUAAGAUCAGGUUUUCAUAUUUCUUUCACUGUUAAUAUUUGUGGUUGCUAUUCUUUUGAUCUUGACUGCUGCAAUACUGCUUAAUAUGCAGAUAUUGUUUUAUUUUGAUCAUCUGGAAAUUCAGGAUCUUGAAGGAUCAGUGGACAA